This 264-nucleotide long non-coding RNA is filed under the name Coffea arabica (coffee). RNAcentral's name for it is "long non-coding RNA (CARA_LNC003443)". Lineage: Eukaryota; Viridiplantae; Streptophyta; Magnoliopsida; Gentianales; Rubiaceae. The record is from RNAcentral.
GCGAGGGAAAAAAUGGUGGCGGCCAACGUUGGGAAGAAAGGAAAAAAAUCAAGGAAAAAAAAGGAGAGGAACCGAGAGUGAGAGCAAGAGAGAGUAGGGUGGCGGGCAACAAAGGAAACAAGAAAAAGGAAAUCGAGAGAAUGGAGGAGAUUGAGAGGGGGAGAGGCUGCGAAGGGAAAAAGGAGGAGAGCUUGUGGGUUGAGGAAGAAAAGGAACCAAAACAAGAAUAGGAAAACUAGGGAGAGAUAAACAAGAGCAAGAAAG